CACGGACUGGGCGAACGUUACUCGGAAUCACUGGGCUUAAAGGGUGCGUAGGCGGCUGGCCCAGUCGGGUGUGAAAGGCCUCGGCUCAACCGAGGUAUGGCGCCCGAAACUGGUCAGCUUGAGUGAGAUAGGGGUGUGCGGAACUUCCGGUGGAGCGGUGAAAUGUGUUGAGAUCGGAAGGAACGCCGGCGGCGAAAGCGGCACACUGGGUCUUCACUGACGCUGAGGCACGAAAGCCAGGGGAGCAAACAGG
This 253-nucleotide unclassified non-coding RNA is filed under the name uncultured Planctomycetales bacterium. RNAcentral's name for it is "contains 16S-23S intergenic spacer region". It matches the Rfam family "Bacterial small subunit ribosomal RNA", at positions 524 to 776 of the family's 1533-position model. Lineage: Bacteria; Pseudomonadati; Planctomycetota; Planctomycetia; Planctomycetales. The record is from RNAcentral.